AGAGUUUGAUCCUGGCUCAGGAUGAACGCUGGCGGCGUGCCUAAUACAUGCAAGUCGAACGAGGUGCUUUUGUAGCAAUACGAGAGUAUCCUAGUGGCGAACGGGUGAGUAACGCGUUGGUGACCUACCCCAAAGUGUGGGAUAACAGUCCGAAAGGAUUGCUAAUACCGCAUGUGGUCAUUGGAUUUAGAAACUGAUGACUAAAGGAGCAAUUCGCUUUGGGAGGGACCUGCGUCCCAUCAGCUAGUUGGUGAGGUAACGGCUCACCAAGGCGACGACGGGUAGGGGACCUGAGAGGGUGGCCCCCCACAAUGGAACUGAAACACGGUCCAUACACCUACGGGUGGCAGCAGUAGGGAAUAUUGCACAAUGGGCGAAAGCCUGAUGCAGCAACGCAGCGUGUGUGAUGAAGGCCUUCGGGUCGUAAAGCACUUUUCUGGGAGAUGAGAAAGGACAGUAUCCCAGGAAUAAGUCUCGGCUAACUACGUGCCAGCCGCCGCGGUAAUAC
Molecule: ribosomal RNA, 508 nt
Filed under: uncultured bacterium
Lineage: Bacteria
Description: bacterial SSU rRNA
Rfam family: Bacterial small subunit ribosomal RNA
Source: RNAcentral